GGGGAAUUUUGGACAAUGGGGGCAACCCUGAUCCAGCAAUGCCGCGUGUGUGAAGAAGGCCUUCGGGUUGUAAAGCACUUUUGUCCGGGAAGAAAUCGCACCUGAUAAUACCGGGUGUGGAUGACGGUACCGGAAGAAUAAGGACCGGCUAACUACGUGCCAGCAGCCGCGGUAAUACGUAGGGUCCAAGCGUUAAUCGGAAUUACUGGGCGUAAAGCGUGCGCAGGCGGUUGUGCAAGACCGAUGUGAAAUCCCCGGGCUUAACCUGGGAAUUGCAUUGGUGACUGCACGGCUAGAGUGUGUCAGAGGGGGGUAGAAUUCCACGUGUAGCAGUGAAAUGCGUAGAGAUGUGGAGGAAUACCGAUGGCGAAGGCAGCCCCCUGGGAUAACACUGACGCUCAUGCACGAAAGCGUGGGGAGCAAACA
This 426-nucleotide ribosomal RNA is filed under the name uncultured Ralstonia sp. RNAcentral describes it as "bacterial SSU rRNA". It matches the Rfam family "Bacterial small subunit ribosomal RNA", at positions 356 to 774 of the family's 1533-position model. Lineage: Bacteria; Pseudomonadati; Pseudomonadota; Betaproteobacteria; Burkholderiales; Burkholderiaceae. The record is from RNAcentral.